This 119-nucleotide ribosomal RNA is filed under the name Helianthus annuus (common sunflower). Lineage: Eukaryota; Viridiplantae; Streptophyta; Magnoliopsida; Asterales; Asteraceae. The record is from RNAcentral.
GGUUGCGAUCAUACCAGCACUAAUGCACCGGAUCCCAUCAGAACUCCGCAGCUAAGCGUGCUUGGGCGAGAGUAGUACUAGGAUGGGUGACCCCCUGGGAAGUCCUCGUGUUGCAACCC